UGGGCCCACCAUGUUUUCGUAGAGUCUACUCUGAUCUUUGAAAUCUUACUUUUCGUAAGAGUUGUGAAUCAUUGCUCUUAUAUGCUAAGAACUCAGGUGAGAUCUCAAUUUCUUAGCUAGAGCUAUGGCGCCAUUAUUACCAUAAUACAGUAUUGUGCCAUCUCAUGAUAUUAUAUCUAGUUCUGUAACAAACCAAAAUAUUUUCUUAGCUACCUCAUAAGCAAUGACAUACUCGGCUUCUAAAAUCUGCAAUGAUCGGUUGUUUAAAACUCUUCUAAUUUAUCGAAUCCAAUUGCUUAAGAAAAUACAUCCUGAUGUAGACUCUCUACCAC
This 332-nucleotide long non-coding RNA is filed under the name Elaeis guineensis (African oil palm). RNAcentral's name for it is "long non-coding RNA (EGUI_LNC007655)". Lineage: Eukaryota; Viridiplantae; Streptophyta; Magnoliopsida; Arecales; Arecaceae. The record is from RNAcentral.